This 147-nucleotide small RNA is filed under the name Heterosigma akashiwo. Its description in RNAcentral is "partial transfer-messenger RNA". The record is from RNAcentral. Lineage: Eukaryota; Raphidophyceae; Chattonellales; Chattonellaceae.
AUCUUCACAGUUCUCACCUAACCUGUAAAAUGGCCAAGUCUGUUGCUUUUGCUGCCCUUGCUGGUCUUGCCGGUGUGUCUGCUUUCCAGCAGGCUGCCCCUGUCCAGAAUGUAGCGUCCGGUGCCUCCAAGAUGACCAUGAUGGCCG